GACGAACGCUGGCGGCGUGCUUAACACAUGCAAGUCGAACGGAAAGGCCCUGCUUUUGUGGGGUUCUCGCGUGGCGCACGGGUGUGUAACACGUGAGUCUCCUUCCCUUUACUUUGGGAUAUCUUCAGGCAACUGCUGCUAAUACCGGAUAGGUGCUCCUGCUGCUUGGUGGGGUUUGGACCGUUUCGGCGGUUGGGGAUGGACUCGCGGCUUAUCAGCUUGUUGGUGGGGUAGUGGCUUACCCAGGCUUUGACGGAUAGCCGGCCUGGGAGGGGUAACGGCGACAAGGGGACUGAGGGAGGGCGCAGAGGGGAACGGGAGGCAGCGGGGGGAAAUAUUGCACAAUGGGGGGAAGCGUGAGGAAGAAGCGCCGCGAGCGGGAAGACGGCCUAGUGGUGGGAAACGGCAUUAGCCUGUGACGAAGCGUGAGUGACGGUAAUAGGUAAAGAAGCACCGGCUAACUACGUG
Molecule: ribosomal RNA, 468 nt
Filed under: uncultured bacterium
Lineage: Bacteria
Description: partial 16S ribosomal RNA
Rfam family: Bacterial small subunit ribosomal RNA
Source: RNAcentral